AAUCCAUCUCUCACCCGCCCACUGCCCCGACCCGUACUGCGUCGCCGCCGCCCCCGCGCCUCCGCGACCGCCCCCGCGGCACCGCACCUCCCAUCUCGCUUCUCAGUUCUCUCCCCACUCCCUAGAUCUAGCAACCUCACUCCGGUAUAGAAGGACCCCUCCUCCCACGGCCGCCGGGCCCUCGUCCUCUACCCCAUAGCCACCGCAUCCGACCUCCACCGCGCCGCUGCCUCCCUCCCUCAUCGGCAGAGCCCGCCCCCUAGUAGUCUUCCACACACCCAUGGACGACGGCGACAGUGACGCGGCAGCCGCCUCCCUCCUGCGCGUCUCUUCUAGCGACGGUACCGCACCCACCUACGACGUCUGCUGCACAAAAAGCACGACGGAGGCGGGCGGACCCAAGCUGGCCGCGUGGGGUGGAUCCCCGUCCACCCCAUUCUCUCGCCUCGGCGUGUCUCAUGGGGGAACUCGCGGCCCUCGACGGCGGCGAGCGAGGAGGCUCCCGCUGCAGCUCCAAGCACCUUCCCGACAUGCUGCAUGGCCUAGACGGCCAAGGUACAAUAAAAAAUGGCAAGCCAGAAUGUGCUAGCUAUUUGCCAAUUUGUCGUAACAUGCAUGUAAAGAGAUGGCAGUAGUUUAUGCACAUUCCUUGACUUCAACAGAUGACUAUCCAGAUUCAAUUGGGACCGCUAAGGUUAGGUAGGAGCACAAAGGUAGAUUGAAAAUUACCAGCGAGUCCAUCUCCUACUUCGACUGCAAUUGAGAUUGCGAAGAACUUGCCACUUGCACCAGUAAAGCUCCAUUGCACUAUGCCUGCUGAAGAUGCAAUUAAAAUCAAAGAAGGUGAAUCUGGGAGACAGCCUUGCAGAGACACCUUUGAAAGUUUCUUGUAUGUACCCAUGAGGACCGUCAUGGUAUCCACCCACACCCUCUUGUUGGCUUUCUAUGCGGUGCCUCAGCCUCCUAUAGAUGACCGAAAGCUUGCAGUAGCAUCAUCAUCAUCUCUGUCUCCUUCCUCACGAGCUUCAUGUCGUAGAUGAGGUCGCAACCGAGGUUUGCAUCACGGAUGCCGUCGACGGUGGGCAUACAUGCUGUGGCGGAAGCUCAUUGCAUAUUGUAGGUUGAACUCAUGCUUUUGUUUGUUAACUCUUGUUGCAUACGUACACAUGUUGUGAACCCUCCUUGAAUAUGUAUGUGUGUUUUUGUGAAACUAUGUUGGAUAUGUAUGCAUGUGUGGACUUUGAACUCAUCAUCAGUUUGUUAUUUUUGUGAACUUCUAAUAUAUUGGAUAUGUAUGCAUGACCAUUUCAUUUGUGAA
This is an RNA transcript of Hordeum vulgare subsp. vulgare (domesticated barley), 1318 nucleotides long. RefSeq lists it as uncharacterized. Lineage: Eukaryota; Viridiplantae; Streptophyta; Magnoliopsida; Poales; Poaceae. The record is from RefSeq and is a predicted model, not a curated record. The transcript has 6 exons.